RNAcentral lists this ribosomal RNA (600 nucleotides) under uncultured bacterium. Its description in RNAcentral is "bacterial SSU rRNA". The stretch from base 1 to 432 matches the Rfam family "Bacterial small subunit ribosomal RNA", at positions 84 to 541 of the family's 1533-position model. The record is from RNAcentral.
GGGUGACGAAGCUGGCGGACGGGUGAGUAAUGUCUGGGAAACUGCUUAUGGAGGGGGAUAACUACUGGAAACCGGUAGCUAAUACCGCAUAACGUCUGCAAUGACAAAGACGGGGGACCUUCGGGNCUCUUGCCAUCAGAUGUGCCCAGAUUGGAUUAGCUAGUAGUGGGGUAACGGUCACCAAGGGCGANGAUCCGUACUGGUCUGAGAGGACGANCAGCACACCGGAACUGAGACACGGUCCGGAAUCCUACGGGAGGCACAAUGGGGAAUAUUGGACCAUGGGGGAAACCCUUGAUCCAGCGACGCCCCGUNGGUUACAGAAGGGCUGCGGGUUGUAAAGNCCUUUCAGUUGGGGAAGAACAUGUCCGACUAAAUACAGUCGGGAACCUUUAACGUUCCANACGAAAAAAAAGCACCGGGGGUAAACGUCCUGNUGAGCCAAGGGAAGCCGNAGGGGUAAUUAUCAAGAAGGGGUUGCAGAANGCCGAUUAAUUCGGGAAAUUUAACUGGGGCGUAAAAUCGGGCGAANGGGAGGAAUGGAGCUUUGUGAUAUAGGUCAGGGAAUUGUUGUGAAAAAUNCACCCACCGGGGGGACUC